RNAcentral lists this microRNA precursor (68 nucleotides) under Nematostella vectensis (starlet sea anemone). RNAcentral describes it as "microRNA nve-mir-9418 precursor (nve-mir-9418-1)". The stretch from base 8 to 68 matches the Rfam family "mir-9418 microRNA precursor family". Lineage: Eukaryota; Metazoa; Cnidaria; Anthozoa; Actiniaria; Edwardsiidae. The record is from miRBase by way of RNAcentral.
CCCGGAGUCAUACAAGUGCAUCAAUGGAACUGUUUCUUCUGGUUUGGAAGGAAUAUUGAUGUUUUUUA